AGUGAACGCUGGCGGUAGGCCUAACACAUGCAAAUCGAACGGCAGCACAGUAAGAGCUUGCUCUUACGGGUGGCGAGUGGCGGACGGGUGAGGAAUACAUCGGAAUCUACUUUUUCGUGGGGGAUAACGUAGGGAAACUUACGCUAAUACCGCAUACGACCUACGGGUGAAAGCAGGGGAUCUUCGGACCUUGCGCGAUUGAAUGAGCCGAUGUCGGAUUAGCUAGUUGGCGGGGUAAAGGCCCACCAAGGCGACGAUCCGUAGCUGGUCUGAGAGGAUGAUCAGCCACACUGGAACUGAGACACGGUCCUGACUCCUACGGGAGGCAGCAGUGGGGAAUAUUGGACAAUGGGCGCAAGCCUGAUCCAGCCAUACCGCGUGGGUGAAGAAGGCCUUCGGGUUGUAAAGCCCUUUUGUUGGGAAAGAAAAGCAGCAGGUUAAUACCCCGCUGUUCUGACGGUACCCAAAGAAUAAGCACCGGCUAACUUCGUG
Molecule: ribosomal RNA, 492 nt
Filed under: uncultured bacterium
Lineage: Bacteria
Description: partial 16S ribosomal RNA
Rfam family: Bacterial small subunit ribosomal RNA
Source: RNAcentral